AAAAGGAAAGGAUGUGGGUAACAGCCAAGGCGGGGGAAGGGACAGACACAGUAAGCUGGUCCAACCAAGGACCAACUCUCCACACAGAGAGGCACUGAAGCAUUCAUUUGCCAUCCAGAUAAUCUCUGUAGAGUGGUUUUCCACCUGCUGGUGACCUUCAUUUGUGAUAUCAAGAAAAGAUUAGAGUCCCUAGGAAAGCAAGAGGAUGACUCUCCAUUCCUGCUUUUUCGAGUCAAGACAAGGCUACUAGUAUUUCAGGAUGUUUCUGCAGUAGAGUGGUUUGUACAUAAGAGGAAUGAAUACUACUGUGCUGCAACAAGAACAGAAAGUCCAGAAAUCCCACUUUGAAGGACUCUGCACACAAAGAAGAAACUGCCUAAGGAGGACAAGUGGCGACUCAGAAAAUGCUGAUAUCAGAAUGUUCCGAAGAUCUACCCACUAGAAAGCCAAGGUUUUAAGGACUUGAUUUGCAAGAGAAGGCAGGAGUUUAGGACUUCAUGUGAACCAACAAAGUUUGGCAAUAACAACUUGCAAUGUAUGGAAUCACUUCCAGGAGAUAUUAAAGAAAAACAUUUGCUAUUUGCACACCUGACUGUUCUCCAAAUGAGGAGAGCUCAUUAAGAAGCCUGCUGAAGUUCUACAUUGGCUACUCCAAAAGUAAUGCCUUCUAUGUUAUUAUAUUGGCACGACAGUAGAAGUUGAACCUUCCUACCAAUAUUCCGUUACAUUUUGUUGCUGUGACAGAAGCAUUAGAGGGGCAGCCUGACAAAAUGGCAUCUGACAUGAAAGUGCAUAUGAAACAAAGGUCUGUCAUUUAAUUCUUCUAUGUGGAAAAAACUGCACCUAUUGACUUUCACUGACACUUGCUGAAUGCCUAUGGAGACCAAUCAGUGGAUGUGAGCACAGCGAGGUGGAGACUUCUUAAUUUGAAGUUGAAAUUAAAAAAAAUAAAAAAUAACUGAAUUAUGGCCUCUAAACUAGCUACAGAGGCUGUUUACAAACAGACAUUUUCCUUUUAUGAAGCUAUCUUUGAUAUAUUUUAGGUUAAGUUGUAUUUACUGGGUUUAGUCCUCUUAAAACUAUUUCAAGAUCUAAUACUUUAAUGUCUGUGAUGAGGAGAUAAGAUUGCAAACACUAUGUCCAAGAGAAAGAAAAAGCUGAACUUCAAAUCAGCCCAUCUGAUAUCAGUCUGGAGAAACACAUCACAUGAGUAGUAGAGACAUAAAGCUACUGUGUCUUUUUCCCCCUCAAAAGAGAUGUUUUUUGCCCUCUGAGUCACAAAAGCAGCUGAAGCACUAAGUUCACUCCUCACAGCAUUGGAAAAAAUGAGAAGAUGGAUAAGAAGCACUACAUUUUGACUUAAGAAAAAGGAUUUUUUUUUUUUAAUGUCAACAAUACACAAUGUCAAGAAAUUUUUAGUACCAACUGGUGUCUGCUAAAGCUAUUUAUCUGUGUUUGCCUUCCUCCUAGAAUGUAUCAGUCUUUUUUUUGUUGUUGUUUUUUAAUCCUCAUGAUAGUGUUGAGAAAGAAUGAUCAGAUUUUGCAACUCAAGUUGCACAAGCAGACCUAUGUGGUUACAAUCUUAUGAGAGAGAGGUAUGAGAAGUCAAUACCUCAAGACUGCAACUAAUUUAAACUCCAGAUGACUCUAAACACUAGUCUGGUAUCUUAUCUCUUUCAGCAGAAAGUAUGUCAGUCUGCAAUGUCAAUCUCCUGGUGCUGCAACUGUAGAAUGAAAUCCUUACAUCGACAUCAUUGAAAACUAAAAACUCAGUCUAUUUCAAUGUCAAUAUUACACAAUACCAUUCUUUCAUUAUCUUAGAAGAACAAAAAUAUUUAAAAUUAUAUCCAAUUUGAACUCCCUUUCUGCGUAUUUUGGCUGCAGUAAAAAGCAA
RNAcentral lists this long non-coding RNA (1894 nucleotides) under Gallus gallus (chicken). RNAcentral's name for it is "lncRNA (ENSGALG00010015273.1)". The record is from RNAcentral. Lineage: Eukaryota; Metazoa; Chordata; Aves; Galliformes; Phasianidae.